UUUGCAUAUCGAAUCCUUUUGAAAUUUGACAAGUAGCUUGGGCUGUUCAGAGGGAAGAAGCUAUCAAAGUCCAAAGCAAUAUUCUGGCAGCUAAAAUAGGCUGCAGUGACCUCACAAUGGCGUUUUAGCAAUGGCCCUGCAGGAGGCAUUCAGUAAUGGGCUACUUGGGCUAGACCCUCUCAGCUAAAGGCUAGGCCUAGUCUAGUAAAAAAUGCAAAAGGAAAUAGAGGCAAUUUUCCAAGUAAUUCAGGAGAAAAGCACUUUCAUCUCAACUCUCAAGGUACAGUAAUUGGCACAAACCUUUGGGCCCUGGCAGUGGAGACCAGGCCAUUGGAACCAAGGUGGAGUCAGUCAUGCAGGAAACGUGGAGUGCGGGCUGGGAGUGGAAAGGAAAUCAUGAGGAGGAAGGCACAUUCUUGUUUCUCCUAAGAUCUGGAUGGGGCUCCACCCACUGCAUGGAUUUGCCCCUCUUCCAGUUGCAUAUGACCAACUCAACGCUCCAGUUUUGCUGAAAGAACAUAUCUAGUUAUUUUAAUUCAUACAGCAUCUUUCCAGUCAUUACUUUCUUCACUUUAAAGUCAGCAAUGGAGUUAUUUCUGAACCUAGAGAGCAGUGAGCAUGCAAAGUCAGAGAGGAGGGCAAACAACUCACAGCAAUCAUAAUAAAAACUCUGCAGGAAAACGGCAUCCUCCCCGGGCUGCCAACCAGAAUUACAUCAAACAAUUUUAAAGGAACUAGGAAUUUAUUGUCAUCAGUCUUCCCUCCCUGUGUGUCUCUGGCAAGAUGUUUACUUAUGGCUCAGCCUGAGUAAUUGCACCAAUUCAUUAAAAAUGAAUAAAUAAAACCCCUCCUUGGUGACUGCUUUAUCAUUCUGAAACCCAGCCUCCAGGAAUAAUUUUGCCAAGUUGAACACGGGCAGAAAAGGGAGGUGCUGAUACAGUGCCCAGCUCCUGGCUCUGUCUUUUCUGGGAUAUACACACUCAGUCACUUCAGAUAAAUCAUAAGGAAUUGUACUUUAACCAGUGAGUAGCAUGUUGUAUGGGGAAAAGUAUGGAUUUUGGACACAAAGAGAAGGAUGCUAAAAAAAAUGACUUCAAUUACUGUGUGAUUUUUGAUAAAUUAUCCAACCUCUCUGAAUUUGAGUUUCUUUACCUACAUAAUGGCUGUUGAUGAGUAUUACUUAGUUAACACAAGGGAAGCACCUAUCACAGGGCUAGAGAAAAUAUUUGUUCUUAGUAAAUGUACCUUCCUUCACAUUAGUAAAUAUAUCUCUUUCCCUUUCCUCUUGUUUUCUAGGGCUUGCUACGUAGGCCAGAACUACACCAACACGCUUUGAUGCUGAAGCAGAAUUUGGUACAAGGUGGCUGUAAGUCAGAUCUCCUGCUAAUUGUGUGAAACUGUUUAUGUUGAUUCAUCUAAGCAGCUGGUCUUUUGAGAGAGAUGCAACAGACCAAAGAACAAAGACAGAAGCUUGAGAAGCCAUGUUAGGACUUGUUGCACAGCAUGGUGACUGCUAUGGAACAUUGGUAUGGAGUUUCAGGAGAAAUAAGGGUGAUAGGAUCCAGCUCCCCCCAGCAGAGUUCUUGGAUGUCAAGUCCUGAUAAAUCCCCGCCGCCUCCUGGGUCCAAGCUCGGGUACCACUAACUUGUCCCAAGAGAGUGGGGAGUGAGACCUGUAAGUCAACUAAUAUAAGAUCUCUCAGGAUUUUCUAGCAAUACAACCAUGUGAUCUCUGAAUAAAGACAGUGUGUGUGUGUAUACUGCAUAUA
This 1768-nucleotide long non-coding RNA is filed under the name Homo sapiens (human). RNAcentral's name for it is "HSALNT0372612". The record is from RNAcentral. Lineage: Eukaryota; Metazoa; Chordata; Mammalia; Primates; Hominidae.